GUCCUCGUAAUUCAACGGAUAGAAUAAUUGCCUCCUAAGCGAUAAAUACAGGUUCGAUUCCUGUCGGGGAUACCA
This 75-nucleotide transfer RNA is filed under the name Methylotenera sp. 17-45-7. RNAcentral's name for it is "tRNA-Arg". It matches the Rfam family "tRNA". Rfam says of the family: Transfer RNA (tRNA) molecules are approximately 80 nucleotides in length. Their secondary structure includes four short double-helical elements and three loops (D, anti-codon, and T loops). The record is from RNAcentral. RNAcentral also lists the same sequence under 2 other names. Lineage: Bacteria; Pseudomonadati; Pseudomonadota; Betaproteobacteria; Nitrosomonadales; Methylophilaceae.